GCUCUCCCGCCGGCCCGCGGCAAGAUGGCGGCAGUGGAAGCCAUGGCGCUGAGGCCCGUGGUGCUGAGGCGGGCGCCGGCUCACAGCCGCGGCAUCCUCACCCGCCCCGGGCCGCCCCGUCCCCGCGGGCCGCUGCCCCGCACCCCCUGGACCACCCGCGGGCCGCCGCCGGACCAGCUGGCCCGGGUGGUGGAGCGGCGGCCGGUGCGCGAGCAGGUGGAGCUGGACACCGUCACGUACGCGGGCCGGCAGUACUUCGUGCCCGGCCUGGCCCGGCCGCGCUUCCCGCCCUGGGACCGCGGCUGGAGGGAGCCCUGGCACAGCCCCGGGCCGCGCUACGAGGACAUGCCGCUGCGCAAGGAGCGCGGCUGCUUCAUCUGCCACCAGCGGGUCCGCAUGCUGGAAGGGGUUCGGCAGGCGCAGUGGCUCACCAAGACGAAGCUGGUGCAAGGCUUACCUGCAAAGGUGCUCAGCAUCGCCGAGAACCCAGCAUACCAGCUCCAGGAGCAGGAGGAGGCCGUGCACCGUGCCGUUGCACAUGCACGGCUCUGGGAGACUACAGAAGUUUCCCCCAGAAGAGAAAAAUACUGCCCUGUACUGUUUGAAGACUUGAUACAUUUGUGCCGGUCAAUGUCAGUGAAGUAUCCUUCCCUGGCUAGAAGAAUGCUGGCUCGAAACUACCGGAUUGCAGCUACGUGGGAAAGAGAAUCCACCCUCCUUCAGAUCCGUGGCCUGAAUGGAAUACUUAUGAACUCUAUGACCCCAAUACCACCCGUAGCCUCCAAGGAAGAGAUACUGGCCACAAAAGACCAUGUUCUGGAGACCUUCUAUCCCAUCUCUCCUACAAUUGACCUUCAGGAAGUGAAUGUGUACCAAGAGCUCAAUGACACAGGUUUCAAAGAUGGUUAUCCGUACUCUCAUCCUCACACUCUGUAUUUCCUGGAAUCGGCCAACAAGCGUCCUAACAGGUUCAGACCAGAACAGCUCCGUGCUAAAAUGCUGAUGUUUGCUUUUGGCAACGCACUGGCAAAGGCGAAGGUGCUGUAUGGGAAUGAUCCCCAGGUUUUGGAGCAGCCAAUAGUGGUGCAGAGCGUUGGCACAGAUGGCCAGCUCUUCCAAUUCUUGGUGUUCCAAUUAAAUACAACAGACCUCGUGUCUAAUGAUGGCAUAAAGAAUCUAGUCUGGAUCGACUCUGAUCAGAAUCUGUAUGAAAGUGCCCAGUGUGUUCCAGAAGUCAAGAAGAGAGUGGUUACAAAGCCCACUGGAAUAUAUGGCUUACAGCCAGAAACAUUCAAGAAGUUUCUGGCACUGUAUCUGCAUGGAACUGUGUGAAAUUCAGCUCAAAUGAAAAUCCUUCACCAACUGUACCUGCUGCUUCUCUUUGCCAGAACCAUCGCGCAGCGAGAGAAAGUUCUGCACUGUUACCCUUCAGCGCAUGGGAAGGAGUGGGACAGCCUGCGCUAUUUUAAGGAGUGGAAGAGCACGUACAUUUCCAAGAAAUUCGUAUCACGUCAGUCUCUCAUGUCAGAGGCUGGUCUGUGCUUUGUGAUCUCGUCUGACCAUCUGGAUGAACACCUCCGUGGUGUGCUCCAGUCCCGGGCUAUCAAACAGCUCCGCUCUGCAGAUUUCAGAAAACAGAUCCUCGCUCGUCAAACUUGAGAUCAGCUGUUGGGCUCAAUGAAUUGGGAUGCAUCUUCU
Gallus gallus (chicken) is the source of this 1698-nucleotide RNA transcript. It is a transcript of the gene named mitochondrial ribosomal protein L37, with no coding region annotated. The record is from RefSeq and is marked provisional. Lineage: Eukaryota; Metazoa; Chordata; Aves; Galliformes; Phasianidae. The transcript has 8 exons.